UACGGAGGGUGCAAGCGUUAUCCGGAAUCACUGGGUUUAAAGGGUGCGUAGGCGGCUUAAUAAGUCAGAGGUGAAAGGCUGUGGCUCAACCAUGGGAUUGCCUUUGAUACUGUUAGGCUUGAAUCAGGCUGAGGUUGGCAGAAUGUGGCAUGUAGCGGUGAAAUGCAUAGAUAUGCCAUAGAAUACCGAGUGCGAAGGCAGCUGACAGGCCCUUGAUUGACGCUGAGGCACGCCAGCGUGGGGAGCCAUCAGG
This 253-nucleotide ribosomal RNA is filed under the name uncultured bacterium. RNAcentral describes it as "partial 16S ribosomal RNA". It matches the Rfam family "Bacterial small subunit ribosomal RNA", at positions 524 to 776 of the family's 1533-position model. The record is from RNAcentral.